Molecule: non-coding RNA, 30 nt
Filed under: Cricetulus griseus (Chinese hamster)
Lineage: Eukaryota; Metazoa; Chordata; Mammalia; Rodentia; Cricetidae
Source: RNAcentral
AGCUGGUGAUCGUUGGUCCCGGCGCCUGAG